This 45-nucleotide non-coding RNA is filed under the name Trichobilharzia regenti. Lineage: Eukaryota; Metazoa; Platyhelminthes; Trematoda; Strigeidida; Schistosomatidae. The record is from RNAcentral.
AUCCAGCCGACGAGCCCCAAAUAGGACGAAAUGUGCAUCCUGGAU